Molecule: non-coding RNA, 30 nt
Filed under: Homo sapiens (human)
Lineage: Eukaryota; Metazoa; Chordata; Mammalia; Primates; Hominidae
Source: RNAcentral
CUGCACAGCACCUCGCCUGCUUCUAGGGCC